GACGAACGCUGGCGGCGUGCUUAACACAUGCAAGUCGAACGGAAAGGCCGUGCGUUUGUGCUCUGCUCGAGUGGGGAACGGGGGAGUAACACGUGAGUAACCUGCUCUUCACUUUGGGGUAACUUCAGGAAACGGGGGCUAAUACCGUAUAGGAGCUCCUGCUGCGUGGUGGGGGGUGGAAAGUUUCGGCGGGUGGGGAUGGACUCGCGGCUGAUCAGCUUGUUAGUGGGGUAGUGGCUUACCAAGGCUUGGACGGGUAGCCGGCAUGAGAGGGUGACCGGGCACCUUGGGCCUGAGAUAGGGCCCAGUCUCGUACGGGAGGCAGCAGUGGGGAAUAUUGCACAAUGGGCCGACGCCUGAUGCAGAGGCGCCGCGUGCGGGAUGCCGGCCUUCUGGUUGUAAACCGCUUUCGCCUGUGACGAAGCGUGAGUGACGGUAAUGGGUAAAGAAGCACCGGCUAACUACGUG
This 468-nucleotide ribosomal RNA is filed under the name uncultured bacterium. Its description in RNAcentral is "partial 16S ribosomal RNA". It matches the Rfam family "Bacterial small subunit ribosomal RNA", at positions 28 to 507 of the family's 1533-position model. The record is from RNAcentral.